CGCCCGUCCGAGGGGUGUUCUUGAAAAGAACUGAGAUGGCGUCUGGCGCGAAAGCGCCUCAGGCCCGGACCCUUCGAACCUGAUCCGGGUCAUGCCGGCGAAGGGACGGGACGCAAGACGACG
RNAcentral lists this non-coding RNA (123 nucleotides) under Methylobrevis pamukkalensis. Its description in RNAcentral is "TPP sequence". It matches the Rfam family "TPP riboswitch aptamer (THI element)". Rfam says of the family: Vitamin B(1) in its active form thiamin pyrophosphate (TPP) is an essential coenzyme that is synthesised by coupling of pyrimidine and thiazole moieties in bacteria. The previously detected thiamin-regulatory element, thi box was extended, resulting in a new, highly conserved RNA secondary structure, the THI element, which is widely distributed in eubacteria and also occurs in some archaea. Analysis of operon structures identified a large number of new candidate thiamin-regulated genes, mostly transporters, in various prokaryotic organisms. Lineage: Bacteria; Pseudomonadati; Pseudomonadota; Alphaproteobacteria; Hyphomicrobiales; Pleomorphomonadaceae. The record is from Rfam by way of RNAcentral.